GAUGAACGCUGGCGGCGUGCCUAAUACAUGCAAGUCGAGCGAACAGACGAGGAGCUUGCUCCUCUGACGUUAGCGGCGGACGGGUGAGUAACACGUGGACAACCUACCUAUAAGACUGGGAUAACUUCGGGAAACCGGAGCUAAUACCGUAUAACAUGCUGAACCGCAUGGUUCAACAGUGAAAGACGGUCUUGCUGUCACUUAUAGAUGGAUCCGCGCCGCAUUAGCUAGUUGGUAAGGUAACGGCUUACCAAGGCAACGAUGCGUAGCCGACCUGAGAGGGUGAUCGGCCACACUGGAACUGGACCACGGUCCAGACUCCUACGGGAGGCAGCAGUAGGGAAUCUUCCGCAGUGGGCGAAAACCUGACGGAGCAACGCCGCGUGAGUGAAGAAGGUCUUCGGAUCGUAAAACUCUGUUAUUAGGGAAGAACAAAUGUGUAAGUAACUAUGCACGUCUUGACGGUACCUAAUCAGAAAGCCACGGCUAACUACGUG
This 497-nucleotide ribosomal RNA is filed under the name uncultured bacterium. RNAcentral's name for it is "partial 16S ribosomal RNA". It matches the Rfam family "Bacterial small subunit ribosomal RNA", at positions 28 to 507 of the family's 1533-position model. The record is from RNAcentral.